CGCCAAAGAUUGAUCGGUAUGGGAUGGACCUGCGUCUGAUUAGCUGGUUGGUGAGGUAACGGCUCACCAAGGCAACGAUCAGUAGCCGACCUGAGAGGGUAAUCGGCCACAUUGGAACUGAGACACGGUCCAAACUCCUACGGGAGGCAGCAGUGGGGAAUAUUGCACAAUGGGCGCAAGCCUGAUGCAGCAACGCCGCGUGAGUGAAGAAGGUCUUCGGAUCGUAAAACUCUGUCCUUAGGGAAGAAACAAAUGACGGUACCUAAGGAGGAAGCCCCGGCUAACUACGUGCCAGCAGCCGCGGUAAUACGUAGGGGGCGAGCGUUAUCCGGAAUUAUUGGGCGUAAAGAGUACGUAGGUGGUUUUGUAAGCGUGGGGUGAAAGACCGAGGCUUAACUUCGGUUAGCCUUGCGAACUGCAAGACUUGAGUGCAGGAGAGAAAAGUGGAAUUCCUAGUGUAGCGGUGAAAUGCGUAGAUAUUAGGAGGAACAUCAGUGGCGAAGGCGACUUUCUGGACUGUAACUGACACUGAGGUACGAAAGCGUGGGUAGCAAACAGGAUUAGAUACCCUGGUAGUCCACGCCGUAAACGAUGAGCACUAGGUGUCGGGGUCGCAAGGCUUCGGUGCCGCAG
Molecule: ribosomal RNA, 633 nt
Filed under: uncultured bacterium
Lineage: Bacteria
Description: bacterial SSU rRNA
Rfam family: Bacterial small subunit ribosomal RNA
Source: RNAcentral